AGUUCGGAUUGCAGGCUGCAACCCGCCUGUAUGAAGUUGGAAUCGCUAGUAAUCGCGGAUCAGCAUGCCGCGGUGAAUACGUUCCCGGGCCUUGUACACACCGCCCGUCACACCAUGAGAGUCGGGAACACCCGAAGUCCGUAGUCUAACUUUCACGAGAGGACGCGGCCGAAGGUGGGUUCGAUAAUUGGGGUGAAGUCGUAACAAGGUACC
This 213-nucleotide ribosomal RNA is filed under the name uncultured bacterium. RNAcentral describes it as "partial 16S ribosomal RNA". It matches the Rfam family "Bacterial small subunit ribosomal RNA", at positions 1290 to 1500 of the family's 1533-position model. The record is from RNAcentral.